AGUUGCGAAGGCGGCUCUCUGGACUGUAACUGACGCUGAGGCACGAAAGCGUGGGGCUCACACAGGAUUAGCUCCCCUUGUAGUCCACGCUUUAAACGCUGCGUCCUAUGUUUCGUGGGUUACCCCCUUCGGUGCCGCAGCUAACGCAUUAAGUACUCCGCCGGGGAAGUACGCUCGCAAGAGUGAAACUCAAAGGAAUGGACGGGGACCCGCACAAGUAGCGGAGCAUGUGGUUUAAUUCGAAGCAACGCGAAGAACCUUACCUAAGCUGGACAUCCCAAUGACAUCUCCUUAAUCGGAGAGUUCCCUUCGGGGACAUUGGUGACAGGUGGUGCAUGGUUGUCGUCAGCUCGUGUCGUGAGAUGUUGGGUUAAGUCCCGCAACGUGCGCAACCCUUGUCUUUAGUUGCCAUCAUUAAGUUGGGCACUCUAGAGA
Molecule: ribosomal RNA, 435 nt
Filed under: Clostridioides difficile
Lineage: Bacteria; Bacillati; Bacillota; Clostridia; Peptostreptococcales; Peptostreptococcaceae
Description: bacterial SSU rRNA
Rfam family: Bacterial small subunit ribosomal RNA
Source: RNAcentral